UACGGAGGGUGCAAGCGUUGUCCGGAUUUAUUGGGUUUAAAGGGUGCGUAGGCGGCCCGUUAAGUCAGCGGUGAAAUCCCGGGGCUCAACCCCGGAACUGCCGUUGUUACUGGCGGGCUUGAGUUCGGUGAAGGCGGGCGGAACUGGCGGUGUAGCGGUGAAAUGCUUAGAUACCGCCAAGAACCCCGAUUGCGUAGGCAGCUCGCUGUGCCGAAACUGACGCUGAGGCACGAAAGCGUGGGGAGCGAACAGG
Molecule: ribosomal RNA, 253 nt
Filed under: uncultured bacterium
Lineage: Bacteria
Description: partial 16S ribosomal RNA
Rfam family: Bacterial small subunit ribosomal RNA
Source: RNAcentral